AGUGAACGCUGGCGGUAGGCCUAACACAUGCAAGUCGAACGGCAGCACAGUAAGAGCUUGCUCUUACAGGUGGCGAGUGGCGGACGGGUGAGGAAUACAUCGGAAUCUACUUUUUCGUGGGGGAUAACGUAGGGAAACUUACGCUAAUACCGCAUACGACCUACGGGUGAAAGCAGGGGAUCUUCGGACCUUGCGCGAUUGAAUGAGCCGAUGUCGGAUUAGCUAGUUGGCGGGGUAAAGGCCCACCAAGGCGACGAUCCGUAGCUGGUCUGAGAGGAUGAUCAGCCACACUGGAACUGAGACACGGUCCAGACUCCUACGGGAGGCAGCAGUGGGGAAUAUUGGACAAAGGGCGCAAGCCUGAUCCAGCCAUACCGCGUGGGUGAAGAAGGCCUUCGGGUUGUAAAGCCCUUUUGUUGGGAAAGAAAAGCAGCAGGUUAAUACCCCGCUGUUCUGACGGUACCCAAAGAAUAAGCACCGGCUAACUUCGUG
Molecule: ribosomal RNA, 492 nt
Filed under: uncultured bacterium
Lineage: Bacteria
Description: partial 16S ribosomal RNA
Rfam family: Bacterial small subunit ribosomal RNA
Source: RNAcentral